This 99-nucleotide microRNA precursor is filed under the name Mytilus galloprovincialis (Mediterranean mussel). The stretch from base 10 to 89 matches the Rfam family "mir-137 microRNA precursor family". Lineage: Eukaryota; Metazoa; Mollusca; Bivalvia; Mytilida; Mytilidae. The record is from RNAcentral.
ACCAACAAUGUCCAGAGCGGGUAUUCUCGGGUGAAUAAUAUUCUUUUACAUUUUGGUUGUAUUAUUGCUUGAGAAUACACGUCACUGACAGACAAUGCA